Molecule: long non-coding RNA, 949 nt
Organism: Capra hircus (goat)
Lineage: Eukaryota; Metazoa; Chordata; Mammalia; Artiodactyla; Bovidae
Exons: 4
Source: RefSeq, a predicted model, not a curated record
GCAUUUCACGACUAGCUGUAAGGGGUGGUUUCUGCAGGCUCCGGGCUGGGGCACCCCGCAUCCCACUGCCACUAAGGUUGACCCGCAGGGUGCUGGGGCUGGGAGGCGAAAGUUCACCCAGUCAGGGGAGUCCGACCAGUUCCCCGGCAUGGCCUUUGGGAAGGGACGAGGCCUGCCCACGAUCCCCUAAUUUUAUAAACAUCCCAUCCUGGAACCAGCGGGGCCGUGAUUCCUCGGGUUUGUCCUCGAAACCUUAUUCUGGAGUGCCCCAAGGGGUGUGUGACUGGAAUCUGCCUCAGUCAUCGUCAGUUCGGGAAGCCCAGAACCCUCCUGUGCCUCGAGAAGUGACCUUUAAGAAUGCUCACGGAUUUCAGAUCUCGCCACAACGCUUCCACAGGGGGAAUUCUUAAAGUGGUUGGUUAAAUGUAGUUCCAGUGCCGAGAUGACUGAAUAUGGUCUUCCUAAGGUCACUAAUGACCUCAUCCAAGUUAAAAAGGCAGUUUCCAUUGCACAUCUCAGCAGAGUGACUUGGUGAGACUGCUGCUUAACAAGAGCCAUCAAGCAGAUAUGCUUAAUGGAACUGAGAAGGGAGAGACUAAAUGGAAGUAACACAAGGAAACUCCAGAUGUUCGACUGAUCACCAGAUAACCAGUUUAUUUAUGUCACAGUGUGGAGGGGGGAACUAUAUUGCAGAUGAACUAUUUAGUUGCAGAUGAACUUCAGCCUUAAAACCUGUUAACUGGAUUUUCCAGGUUACCCAGAAUACCAGUGUCAUAGCAGUGGACUAACACUAACUCUAUUUACCUGUUUCUGACAUACAAAAAUUUGGGCAUCAUUUUGUCAACUUUAUUAGUGUUUGGGGAGAGGUAGGGUACUCUUGCCUGGAAAAUCCCAUGGACGGAGGAGCCUGGUGGGCUGCAGUCCAUGGGGUCGUGAAGAGUUGGGCACA